AAUCUCUUAUCGAGGAUCCAUUGGAGGGCAAGUCUGGUGCCAGCAGCCGCGGUAAUUCCAGCUCCAAUAGCGUAUAUUAAAGUUGUUGCAGUUAAAACGCUCGUAGUCGGAUUUCGAAGCACGCUCACGGGGUCGGUUCUUGCUGUUCCUGUGGGGGUGUCUUCUUAUUCUGGGACGCGGUGUGCGGGACUUGAUUGUCUCUGCACAUCUGCGGGCCGGACGUUUACUGUGAAGAAAUUAGGGUGUUCAAAGCAGGCGUUUGCUAUGAAUACGUGAGCAUGGAAUAAUAGAAUAGGACUUGGGCUCUAUUUUGUUGGUUUCCGGAGAACAAGUAAUGAUUAAUAGGGACAGUUGGGGGCAUUCGUAUUUCAUUGUCAGAGGUGAAAUUCUUGGAUUGAUGGAAGACGAACAACUGCGAAAGCAUCUGCCAAGGAUGUUUUCAUUGAUCAAGAACGAAAGUUAGGGGAUCGAAGACGAUCAGAUACCGUCGUA
Molecule: ribosomal RNA, 492 nt
Filed under: Porphyra linearis
Lineage: Eukaryota; Rhodophyta; Bangiophyceae; Bangiales; Bangiaceae
Description: SSU rRNA
Rfam family: Eukaryotic small subunit ribosomal RNA
Source: RNAcentral